Molecule: long non-coding RNA, 653 nt
Organism: Ornithorhynchus anatinus (platypus)
Lineage: Eukaryota; Metazoa; Chordata; Mammalia; Monotremata; Ornithorhynchidae
Exons: 2
Source: RefSeq, a predicted model, not a curated record
GUGCUGGAGGGGGCGAUCCCGCCCCCCCCGGAGCUGCUCGGAGGGCCGGAGGGCUGACCCUCGCUUUCGCCCUGCUGAGGUCCAGCUAGGAGGAGGCCGUGUCCCUCCAUGCCCUCUCCCCGCCACCGUGGGGACCGGCUCCCAGCCUGGGACUGGGAGGGAAAGACAGGGGCCCGAAGGCGGUGCGCCAGGACAGAGGGGGAGAGAUGCCGCCCAGCUGGUUAGCCGCUACUCACCCGGAGAGAUUCUGGCUGAGCGUCCAGUGGGAACCAGCCUGGCGGACCUGCAGGUGCUCUCGGAACAGCAGUAAGUGGGCUACGUCGGCAAUACCAAGCAGGUCUACCUGAAACCAUAACGGCGAUGUCAGCUGGAGCUCUUCCCUAUCACUCUGAGAGCGGGUAGGUGGGCACUGAAGUGCUCCGAAAUGCUCAGCUCUCAGCUCCCACUUCCGCAUACAACGGCCCUCCCGCCAGUGAAGAGGGUGACUGCUUGAACUCCAGAAGUUCCAGGUCAGAAACAGAAUUGUGUCUCGUGGGAUACUCUCGGGUACCUCCUGGAACCACGCGUGCCCACCCCAGGCUUCAGAGCAGAGCUGAACAUCUGGCUGGUGAGAGUCAAGUUAAAGCAGUGGGAAAGAGUGUGAGUGACAGAGA